This 408-nucleotide ribosomal RNA is filed under the name uncultured bacterium. RNAcentral describes it as "partial 16S ribosomal RNA". It matches the Rfam family "Bacterial small subunit ribosomal RNA", at positions 28 to 526 of the family's 1533-position model. The record is from RNAcentral.
GACGAACGCUGGCGGCGUGCUUAACACAUGCAAGUCGAACGAAGUGGCGAACGGGUGAGUAACGCGUAAUCAACCUGCUCUUCAGAGGGGGACAACAGGUGGAAACGACUGCUAAUACCGCAUUCUGAAGGAGGGGAUUGCGUGUGAUUAGCUAGUUGGAGGGUUAAAGGCCAACCAAGGCGAUGAUCAGUAGCCGGUCUGGGAGGAUGAACGGCCAAAUUGGGACUGGGACACGGCCCAGGCUCCUACGGGAGGCAGCAGUGGGGAAUCUUCCGCAAUUGACGAAAGGCUGACGGAGCAACGCCGCGUGAGUGAUGACGGCCUUCGGGUUGUAAAGCUCUUUUAAUCGGGACGCGGUACCGGACUAGAAAGCCACGGCUAACUUCGUGCCAGCAGCCGCGGUAAUUC